Molecule: ribosomal RNA, 461 nt
Filed under: Salmonella enterica
Lineage: Bacteria; Pseudomonadati; Pseudomonadota; Gammaproteobacteria; Enterobacterales; Enterobacteriaceae
Also listed under: 2 other names
Description: partial 23S ribosomal RNA
Rfam family: Bacterial large subunit ribosomal RNA
Source: RNAcentral
CAUCCUCCAAGGCUAAAUACUCCUGACUGACCGAUAGUGAACCAGUACCGUGAGGGAAAGGCGAAAAGAACCCCGGCGAGGGGAGUGAAAAAGAACCUGAAACCGUGUACGUACAAGCAGUGGGAGCCCCACCACUAAGCCAGUGGUGAACUCCACAUCCGCAUCCUUUGCUGAGGAUACGGUUAACGGAGCGAAAGCGACGUUCAACCGCAAAACAAGCAGAGGGGGCUUAGUGGUGGGGUGACUGCGUACCUUUUGUAUAAUGGGUCAGCGACUUAUAUUCUGUAGCAAGGUUAACCGUAUAGGGGAGCCGGAGGGAAACCGAGUCUUAAUUGGGCGUUAAGUUGCAGGGUAUAGACCCGAAACCCGGUGAUCUAGCCAUGGGCAGGUUGAAGGUUGGGUAACACUAACUGGAGGACCGAACCGACUAAUGUUGAAAAAUUAGCGGAUGACCUGUGGCU